Molecule: ribosomal RNA, 1051 nt
Filed under: Enterococcus faecalis
Lineage: Bacteria; Bacillati; Bacillota; Bacilli; Lactobacillales; Enterococcaceae
Description: partial 23S ribosomal RNA
Rfam family: Bacterial large subunit ribosomal RNA
Source: RNAcentral
CUGUUAGUAUAGUUGAAGGAUUUGGAAAAUUCCGCUAAAGAGGGUGAAAGCCCCGUAGACGAAAUGCUGACAACACCUAGGAGGAUCCUGAGUACGGCGGAACACGAGAAAUUCCGUCGGAAUCCGCGGGGACCAUCCCGCAAGGCUAAAUACUCCCUAGUGACCGAUAGUGAACCAGUACCGUGAGGGAAAGGUGAAAAGCACCCCGGAAGGGGAGUGAAAUAGAUCCUGAAACCGUGUGCCUACAACAAGUCAAAGCUCGUUAAUGAGUGAUGGCGUGCCUUUUGUAGAAUGAACCGGCGAGUUACGAUUGCAUGCGAGGUUAAGUCGAAGAGACGGAGCCGCAGCGAAAGCGAGUCUGAAUAGGGCGAAUGAGUAUGUAGUCGUAGACCCGAAACCAUGUGAUCUACCCAUGUCCAGGUUGAAGGUGCGGUAAAACGCACUGGAGGACCGAACCCACGUACGUUGAAAAGUGCGGGGAUGAGGUGUGGGUAGCGGAGAAAUUCCAAACGAACUUGGAGAUAGCUGGUUCUCUCCGAAAUAGCUUUAGGGCUAGCCUCGGAAUUGAGAAUGAUGGAGGUAGAGCACUGUUUGGACUAGGGGCCCAUCUCGGGUUACCGAAUUCAGAUAAACUCCGAAUGCCAUUCAUUUAUAUCCGGGAGUCAGACUGCGAGUGAUAAGAUCCGUAGUCGAAAGGGAAACAGCCCAGACCACCAGCUAAGGUCCCAAAAUAUAUGUUAAGUGGAAAAGGAUGUGGGGUUGCACAGACAACUAGGAUGUUGGCUUAGAAGCAGCCACCAUUUAAAGAGUGCGUAAUAGCUCACUAGUCGAGUGACCCUGCGCCGAAAAUGUACCGGGGCUAAACAUAUUACCGAAGCUGUGGACUACACCAUUAGGUGUAGUGGUAGGAGAGCGUUCUAAGGGCGUUGAAGGUCGAUCGUGAGGACGGCUGGAGCGCUUAGAAGUGAGAAUGCCGGUAUGAGUAGCGAAAGACAGGUGAGAAUCCUGUCCACCGUAUGACUAAGGUUUCCUGGGGAAGGCUCGUCCGCCC